AUCAGCAUGCUGCGGUGAAUACGUUCCCGGGCCUUGUACACACCGCCCGUCACACCAUGGGAGUCGGUAACACCCGAAGUCGGUAGCCUAACCGUAAGGAGGGCGCCGCCGAAGGUGGGAUUGAUGACUGGGGUGAAGUCGUAACAAGGUAGC
This 153-nucleotide ribosomal RNA is filed under the name uncultured bacterium. RNAcentral describes it as "partial 16S ribosomal RNA". It matches the Rfam family "Bacterial small subunit ribosomal RNA", at positions 1348 to 1500 of the family's 1533-position model. The record is from RNAcentral.